RNAcentral lists this ribosomal RNA (458 nucleotides) under Marinilabilia sp. Its description in RNAcentral is "bacterial SSU rRNA". Lineage: Bacteria; Pseudomonadati; Bacteroidota; Bacteroidia; Marinilabiliales; Marinilabiliaceae. The record is from RNAcentral.
UCGCGUGCAGGAUGACUGCCCUAUGGGUUGUAAACUGCUUUUAUACGGGAAGAAAGGUACCUACGUGUAGGUAUUUGCCGGUACCGUACGAAUAAGCAUCGGCUAACUCCGUGCCAGCAGCCGCGGUAAUACGGAGGAUGCGAGCGUUAUCCGGAUUUAUUGGGUUUAAAGGGUGCGUAGGCGGAAUGGUAAGUCAGUGGUGAAAGUCUGCAGCUCAACUGUAGUUGUGCCAUUGAUACUGUCAUUCUUGAGUAUAGAUGAGGUAGGCGGAAUGAGUAGUGUAGCGGUGAAAUGCAUAGAUAUUACUCAGAACACCAAUUGCGAAGGCAGCUUACUAAACUAAYACUGACGCUGAAGCACGAAAGCGUGGGUAUCAAACAGGAUUAGAUACCCUGGUAGUCCACGCCGUAAACGAUGAUUACUGGUUGUUUGCAAUACACCGCAAGCGACUGAGCGAA